GACGAACGCUGGCGGCGUGCUUAACACAUGCAAGUCGAACGGAAAGGCCCUGCUUUUGUGGGGUGCUCGAGUGGCGAACGGGUGAGUAACACGUGAGUAACCUGCCCUUGACUUUGGGAUAACUUCAGGAAACUGGGGCUAAUACCGGAUAGGAGCUCCUGCUGCAUGGUGGGGGAUGGAAAGUUUCGGCGGUUGGGGAUGGACUCGCGGCUUAUCAGCUUGUUGGUGGGGUAGUGGCUUACCAAGGCUUUGACGGGUAGCCGGCCUGAGAGGGUGACCGGCCACAUUGGGACUGAGAUACGGCCCAGACUCCUACGGGAGGCAGCAGUGGGGAAUAUUGCACAAUGGGCGGAAGCCUGAUGCAGCAACGCCGCGUGCGGGAUGACGGCCUUCGGGUUGUAAACCGCUUUCGCCUGUGACGAAGCGGGAGUGACGGUAAUGGGUAAAGAAGCACCGGCUAACUACGUG
This 468-nucleotide ribosomal RNA is filed under the name uncultured bacterium. RNAcentral describes it as "partial 16S ribosomal RNA". It matches the Rfam family "Bacterial small subunit ribosomal RNA", at positions 28 to 507 of the family's 1533-position model. The record is from RNAcentral.